This 339-nucleotide unclassified non-coding RNA is filed under the name soil metagenome. RNAcentral's name for it is "partial contains 5.8S ribosomal RNA, internal transcribed spacer 2, and large subunit ribosomal RNA". The stretch from base 1 to 120 matches the Rfam family "5.8S ribosomal RNA", at positions 35 to 154 of the family's 154-position model. The record is from RNAcentral.
GAUGAAGAACGUAGCGAAAUGCGAUAAGUAGUGUGAAUUGCAGAAUUCAGUGAAUCAUCGAAUCUUUGAACGCACAUUGCGCCCCUCGGUAUUCCGUGGGGCAUGCCUGUUCGAGCGUCAUUUAACCCCUCAAGCCUAGCUUGGUAUUGGGUGCUUGUCCCGCCUCUCGCGCGGCGACUCACCUCAAAGUCAUUGGCAGCCCGCAUCUCGCCGGCCGUGAGCGCAGCACAGACGCGCUCUAGGCAACGACGGAUCGGCUCUCCAAAAGCUUAUUUCAACCACUGACCUCGGAUCAGGUAGGGAUACCCGCUGAACUUAAGCAUAUCAAUAAGCGGAGGA